This 330-nucleotide unclassified non-coding RNA is filed under the name soil metagenome. RNAcentral describes it as "partial contains 5.8S ribosomal RNA, internal transcribed spacer 2, and large subunit ribosomal RNA". The stretch from base 1 to 120 matches the Rfam family "5.8S ribosomal RNA", at positions 35 to 154 of the family's 154-position model. The record is from RNAcentral.
GAUGAAGAACGUAGCGAAAUGCGAUAAGUAAUGUGAAUUGCAGAAUUCAGUGAAUCAUCGAAUCUUUGAACGCACAUUGCGCCCCCUGGUAUUCCGGGGGGCAUGCCUGUUCGAGCGUAAUUUCACCACUCAAGCCUCGCUUGGUAUUGGGCAACGCGGUCCGCCGCGUGCCUCAAAUCGACCGGCUGGGUCUUCUGUCCCCUAAGCGUUGUGGAAACUUUCGCUAAAGGGUGUUCGGGAGGCUACGCCGUAAAACAACCCCAUUUCUAAGGUUGACCUCGGAUCAGGUAGGGAUACCCGCUGAACUUAAGCAUAUCAAUAAGCGGAGGA